This 450-nucleotide ribosomal RNA is filed under the name uncultured bacterium. RNAcentral describes it as "partial 16S ribosomal RNA". It matches the Rfam family "Bacterial small subunit ribosomal RNA", at positions 28 to 507 of the family's 1533-position model. The record is from RNAcentral.
GAUGAACGCUGGCGGCGUGCCUAACACAUGCAAGUCGAGCGGCAGCGAGGGGUGCUUGCACCCUGUCGGCGAGCGGCGGACGGCUGAGUAACGCGUGGGACCUUGCCCCAAGGGGAGAAAAACUGCCCGGAAGGGGUGGCUAAUCCCCAAUUUUAUCUCGGAAUAAAAGAUUUUACCGCUUUGGGAGCGGCUCGCGUCGGAUUAGGUAGGUGGUGAGGUAAUGGCUCACCAAGCCGACGAACCGUAGCUGGUCUGAGAGGAUGACCAGCCAGACUGGAACUGAGACACGGUCCAGACUCCUACGGGAGGCAGCAGUGAGGAAUCUUCCACAAUGGGCGAAAGCCUGAUGGAGCAACGCCGCGUGCAGGACGAAGGCCUUCGGGUUGUAAACUGCUUUUAUAAGUGAGGAAUAUGACGGUAACUUAUGAAUAAGGAUCGGCUAACUACGUG